This is a long non-coding RNA of Homo sapiens (human), 371 nucleotides long. Ensembl annotates it as ILRUN antisense RNA 1. Its record names the gene ILRUN-AS1. NCBI's taxonomy places the organism in Eukaryota, Metazoa, Chordata, Mammalia, Primates, Hominidae. The record is from Ensembl.
GUCACAAACUCGUGACGUCCCCGCGUGACCUCACCGCUGCGGGGCGAUGGAGCGAAAAGUGAGGAAACUGAAGUCCCGGGAGAGACAGUGGCAAGGUCAAGUAGCAAAGUGCACUCAGCCCUCCCAGCAAGGAGUCUGCCACUCGCGCUUGAAGGACGUGUUUGAAGAGCUGCUUUCCCAGUGGGAUGCUGCCUUAAAGUCUUGAUUCCCUGGCACUCUUUCCUAUUACUACAUUUUAUCGGUGCUGUUUGUGUUAUGCAACGGUAGCAUCGUGUCUCCGGAAGAUAAAAAAGGUCUCGAUACAAACAUCCAUAACCUUCCACCCACUCCGUCAGGAACAACCCAAUCAAAAUAAAGUCAUGAGAAUUUAG